AUUGAACGCUGGCGGAAUGCUUUACACAUGCAAGUCGAACGGCAGCACGGGGGCAACCCUGGUGGCGAGUGGCGAACGGGUGAGUAAUACAUCGGAACGUGCCCAGUCGUGGGGGAUAACUACGCGAAAGCGUAGCUAAUACCGCAUACGAUCUACGGAUGAAAGCGGGGGAUCGCAAGACCUCGCGCGAUUGGAGCGGCCGAUGGCAGAUUAGGUAGUUGGUGGGGUAAAGGCNCACCAAGCCAACGAUCUGUAGCUGGUCUGAGAGGACGACCAGCCACACUGGGACUGAGACACGGGCCCAGACUCCUACGGGAGGCAGCAGUGGGGAAUAUUGCGCAAUGGGCGAAAGCCUGACGCAGCGACGCCGCGUGAGGGAUGAAGG
This 385-nucleotide ribosomal RNA is filed under the name uncultured bacterium. RNAcentral describes it as "bacterial SSU rRNA". It matches the Rfam family "Bacterial small subunit ribosomal RNA", at positions 29 to 414 of the family's 1533-position model. The record is from RNAcentral.